RNAcentral lists this unclassified non-coding RNA (317 nucleotides) under uncultured fungus. RNAcentral describes it as "partial contains 5.8S ribosomal RNA, internal transcribed spacer 2, and large subunit ribosomal RNA". The record is from RNAcentral. Lineage: Eukaryota; Fungi.
AACGCACCUUGCGCUCCUUGGUAUUCCUUGGAGCAUGCCUGUUUGAGUAUCAUGAAAUUCUCAAGGCAAGUCUUUUGUUAAUUCAAUCGGCUUUGCUUUGGACUUGGGGGUCUGCAGAUUCACGUCUGCUCCUCUUAAAUGCAUUAGCUGGAUCUCCAUGAACUUGGUUCCACUCGGCGUGAUAAGUAUCACUCGCUGAGGACACCCGUAAAAAAGGUGGCCAGGCUUGAGGAUGAGCCGCUUCUAAUAGUCCAUUCGCUUGGACAAUUUAUUUAUGAUCUGAUCUCAAAUCAGGUAGGACUACCCGCUGAACUUAA